This 1551-nucleotide ribosomal RNA is filed under the name Trichinella patagoniensis. RNAcentral's name for it is "SSU rRNA". The stretch from base 1 to 1105 matches the Rfam family "Eukaryotic small subunit ribosomal RNA". Lineage: Eukaryota; Metazoa; Nematoda; Enoplea; Trichinellida; Trichinellidae. The record is from RNAcentral.
UUCCGGUGACCAUUUCAGCAAUCAGUGCACGUGAAUGAUUGUCGAGCCCUUGCAUGCGUAGUGCUCGGUCUAUUGAUGUGUGAUUGACCGUAUCGAAUGCCUUCGCUAAGUCUACACAGACGAUGUUUAGUUCCUUUCCAGUCUUGUGCGCUUCUCUGACGAUGGUCAUUAGNACCGGCGACAUCACUUUCAAGUGUCUGCCUUAUCAACCUUCGAUGGUAGUCUAUGCGACUACCAUGGUGAUAACGGGUAACGGAGAAUCAGGGUUCGACUCCGGAGAGGGAGCCUGAGAAACGGCUACCACAUCCAAGGAAGGCAGCAGGCGCGCAAAUUACCCACUCCCAGCUUGGGGAGGUAGUGACGAAAAAUAACGAGACGAUUCUCGUUUGAGAAACGUUAUCGAAAUGAGUACGCUUUACACACGCUAACGAGUAGCAAUUGGAGGGCAAGUCUGGUGCCAGCAGCCGCGGUAAUUCCAGCUCCAAUAGCGUAUAUUAAAGUUGCUGCGGUUAAAACGCUCGUAGUUGAAUUGUGGUCUUAGACAACAGUCCCCCUACAUAGGUGUGGCACGGUUGCUCGAGAUCUUCAUUCGUGGUUGCUGUUGUUGCUCUUCAUUGAGUGUCAAUGGUGCCUCGAGAUUUUACUUUGAAAAAAUUAGAGUGCUCAAAGCAGGUUGUGAUGCCUGAAUAAUGGUGCAUGGAAUAAUAGAAUACGAUCUCGGUUCUAUUUUGUUGGUUUUCGAACCGGAGAUAAUGAUUGAAAGGAACAGACGGGGGCAUUCGUAUUGCUGCGUUAGAGGUGAAAUUCUUGGAUCGCAGCAAGAUGAACAAUUGCGAAAGCAUUUGCCAAGAAUGUUUUCAUUAAUCAAGAACGAAAGUUAGAGGUUCGAAGGCGAUCAGAUACCGCCCUAGUUCUAACGGUAAACUAUGCCAACCAGCGAUUCGCCGAAGUUCAUUUAAGACUCGGCGAGCAGCUUCCGGGAAACCAAAGUGUUUCGGUUCCGGGGGAAGUAUGGUUGCAAAGCUGAAACUUAUCGGCGGGAGUAACUAUGACUCUCUUCUGGCGUGCGGCGGCCUAAUUUCUAUCGCUCUCUCGCUGAACGAAAUCGCUCCGUAAGUCAGUAACUUUUCAUAGUUUUUCGGUCUCCUAGGGUCUUCUAAAUGGGAAAGCUGUCUCGUCCUGCACAGGAAAAGACUUCUGCUGCUGCAGGGUCUGACGGGCAAGCCCGAUCAGACAGGGGAAGGCGGAACCACGCUGAAGUUCCCUAUCCGGGACCUUUCAAAUGCAUUAUAUGAUCGUUUACCGAGUGUGUUUACUCACGGUUUAGUAAUCACUGCAUGAAACACGGCUUGCACUUUGAGUUACACUGUAGUAUUUGCACCAAAAUGUUCCCCAGCAUCUACUCUAUCGCAUGCCACUAUUCCCGAUGCGCGAAAACCCAUAGGAACCCUGAAAACCCCGAAAUUCCAUCCGGGUCCAAUUUGAAUGACCUUCAUUCAAACGAACUAGCCGUGGGAAACAGUGGGAUGGAAACUAGGCCAUCCAUCAAAC